UUUUUAAUAUAAGUAUAUCUCAUGCAAUAUUUGGGACGUAUUUACAUUAAAA
This 52-nucleotide microRNA precursor is filed under the name Camelus bactrianus (Bactrian camel). RNAcentral's name for it is "mir-1302 microRNA precursor family". It matches the Rfam family "mir-1302 microRNA precursor family". RNAcentral also lists the same sequence under 2 other names. The record is from Rfam by way of RNAcentral. Lineage: Eukaryota; Metazoa; Chordata; Mammalia; Artiodactyla; Camelidae.